This 468-nucleotide ribosomal RNA is filed under the name uncultured bacterium. RNAcentral's name for it is "partial 16S ribosomal RNA". It matches the Rfam family "Bacterial small subunit ribosomal RNA", at positions 28 to 507 of the family's 1533-position model. The record is from RNAcentral.
GACGAACGCUGGCGGCGUGCUUAACACAUGCAAGUCGAACGGAAAGGCCCUGCUUUUGUGGGGUGCUCGAGUGGCGAACGGGUGAGUAACACGUGAGUAACCUGCCCUUGACUUUGGGAUAACUUCAGGAAACUGGGGCUAAUACCGGAUAGGAGCUCCUGCUGCAUGGUGGGGGUUGGAAAGUUUCGGCGGUUGGGGAUGGACUCGCGGCUUAUCAGCUUGUUGGUGGGGUAGUGGCUUACCAAGGCUUUGACGGGUAGCCGGCCUGAGAGGGUGACCGGCCACAUUGGGACUGAGAUACGGCCCAGACUCCUACGGGAGGCAGCAGUGGGGAAUAUUGCACAAUGGGCGGAAGCCUGAUGCAGAAACGCCGCGUGCGGGAUGACGGCCUUCGGGUUGUAAACCGAUUUCGAAUGUGACGAAGAGUGAGUGACGGUAAUGGGUAAAGAAGCACCGGCUAACUACGUG